GCCAGAGGCAGUGGUGCAUGCCUGUAGUCCCAGCUACUCAGGAGGCUGAGACAGGAGGAUCGCUUGAGUCCAGGAGUUCUGGGCUAUAGUGCUCUAUGCUGAUCGUGUGCCUGCACUUAGUUUGGCAUCAAUAUGGUGACCUCCCAGGAGCAUAGGGCCACCAGGUUGCCUAAGGAGGGGUGAACUGGCCCAGGUUGGAAAUGGAGGAGGUCAAAACUCCCAUGCUGAUCAGUAAUGGGGUCGUGCCUGUGAAUAGCCACUGCACUCCAGCCUGGGCAACAUAGCGAGACCCCUUCUCUA
Molecule: non-coding RNA, 300 nt
Organism: Otolemur garnettii (small-eared galago)
Lineage: Eukaryota; Metazoa; Chordata; Mammalia; Primates; Galagidae
Source: Rfam